Molecule: ribosomal RNA, 918 nt
Filed under: Candidatus Woesebacteria bacterium
Lineage: Bacteria; Candidatus Woeseibacteriota
Description: bacterial SSU rRNA
Rfam family: Bacterial small subunit ribosomal RNA
Source: RNAcentral
UAUUAAAUACUUCGGCUCAACCGAAGGCAUGUAUCCAAAACUGGAAGUCUAGAGGUAUGUAGGGGAGAAUGGAACUUACGGUGUAGCAGUGAAAUGCGUAGAUAUCGUAAGGAACGCCAAUGGUGAAGACAGUCCUCUGGACAUUACCUGACACUGAGGAGCGAAAGCGUGGGGAGCGAACGGGAUUAGAUACCCCGGUAGUCCACGCUGUAAACGAUGCAUACUAGGAAUUUGGAGAAUCGACCCUCUGAGUUUCGAAGCUAACGCGUUAAGUAUGCCGCCUGGGUAGUACGGCCGCAAGGCUAAAACUCAAAGGAAUUGACGGGGACCCGCACAAGCGGUGGAACAUGUGGUUUAAUUCGAUAACAACCGAAGAACCUCACCAGGACUUGACAUCCUAGGAAUCCUCUGGAAACAGGGGAGUGCCCGCAAGGGAGCCUAGAGACAGGUGUUGCACGGCCGUCGUCAGCUCGUGCUGUGAAGUGUCCCGUUAAGUCGGUCAACGAGCGCAACCCUUAUUGCAUGUUGAAUUUCUCAUGCGAGACUGCCGGCGUUAAGUCGGAGGAAGGCGGGGAUGACGUCAGGUCAGCGUGACUCUUACGUUCUGGGCUACACACGUGUUACAAUGGGUAGUAACAAAGGGUCGCUAAGCCGUAAGGUGGAGCUAAUCCCAUCAAACCUACCCCCAGUUCGGAUUGAGGGCUGAAACUCGCCCUCAUGAAGUUGGAAUCGCUAGUAACCGUAGGUCAGCUAUACUACGGUGAAUACGUUCUCGGGUCUUGUACACACCGCCCGUCAAGUCAGGAAAGUCGGUAGCACCCAAAGCGCCCAACAGGGCACCACGGUGAGAUCGGUAAUCAGGACUAAGUCGUAAAAUUGUUGCGACCUAUCAGAGUAAUUUGAUAGAAAAACUCGACU